GGUUAAGCGACUAAGCGUACACGGUGGAUGCCCUGGCAGUCAGAGGCGAUGAAGGACGUGCUAAUCUGCGAUAAGCGUCGGUAAGGUGAUAUGAACCGUUAUAACCGGCGAUUUCCGAAUGGGGAAACCCAGUGUGUUUCGACACACUAUCAUUAACUGAAUCCAUAGGUUAAUGAGGCGAACCGGGGGAACUGAAACAUCUAAGUACCCCGAGGAAAAGAAAUCAACCGAGAUUCCCCCAGUAGCGGCGAGCGAACGGGGAGCAGCCCAGAGCCUGAAUCAGUGUGUGUGUUAGUGGAAGCGUCUGGAAAGGCGCGCGAUACAGGGUGACAGCCCCGUACACAAAAAUGCACAUACUGUGAGCUCGAUGAGUAGGGCGGGACACGUGGUAUCCUGUCUGAAUAUGGGGGGACCAUCCUCCAAGGCUAAAUACUCCUGACUGACCGAUAGUGAACCAGUACCGUGAGGGAAAGGCGAAAAGAACCCCGGCGAGGGGAGUGAAAAAGAACCUGAAACCGUGUACGUACAAGCAGUGGGAGCACGCUUAGGCGUGUGACUGCGUACCUUUUGUAUAAUGGGUCAGCGACUUAUAUUCUGUAGCAAGGUUAACCGAAUAGGGGAGCCGAAGGGAAACCGAGUCUUAACUGGGCGUUAAGUUGCAGGGUAUAGACCCGAAACCCGGUGAUCUAGCCAUGGGCAGGUUGAAGGUUGGGUAACACUAACUGGAGGACCGAACCGACUAAUGUUGAAAAAUUAGCGGAUGACUUGUGGCUGGGGGUGAAAGGCCAAUCAAACCGGGAGAUAGCUGGUUCUCCCCGAAAGCUAUUUAGGUAGCGCCUCGUGAAUUCAUCUCCGGGGGUAGAGCACUGUUUCGGCAAGGGGGUCAUCCCGACUUACCAACCCGAUGCAAACUGCGAAUACCGGAGAAUGUUAUCACGGGAGACACACGGCGGGUGCUAACGUCCGUCGUGAAGAGGGAAACAACCCAGACCGCCAGCUAAGGUCCCAAAGUCAUGGUUAAGUGGGAAACGAUGUGGGAAGGCCCAGACAGCCAGGAUGUUGGCUUAGAAGCAGCCAUCAUUUAAAGAAAGCGUAAUAGCUCACUGGUCGAGUCGGCCUGCGCGGAAGAUGUAACGGGGCUAAACCAUGCACCGAAGCUGCGGCAGCGACGCUGAUGCGUUGUUGGGUAGGGGAGCGUUCUGUAAGCCUGUGAAGGUGUGCUGUGAGGCAUGCUGGAGGUAUCAGAAGUGCGAAUGCUGACAUAAGUAACGAUAAAGCGGGUGAAAAGCCCGCUCGCCGGAAGACCAAGGGUUCCUGUCCAACGUUAAUCGGGGCAGGGUGAGUCGACCCCUAAGGCGAGGCCGAAAGGCGUAGUCGAUGGGAAACAGGUUAAUAUUCCUGUACUUGGUGUUACUGCGAAGGGGGGACGGAGAAGGCUAUGUUGGCCGGGCGACGGUUGUCCCGGUUUAAGCGUGUAGGCUGGUUUUCCAGGCAAA
This 1496-nucleotide ribosomal RNA is filed under the name Escherichia coli. RNAcentral's name for it is "partial 23S ribosomal RNA". It matches the Rfam family "Bacterial large subunit ribosomal RNA", at positions 1 to 1540 of the family's 2925-position model. The record is from RNAcentral. Lineage: Bacteria; Pseudomonadati; Pseudomonadota; Gammaproteobacteria; Enterobacterales; Enterobacteriaceae.